This 817-nucleotide ribosomal RNA is filed under the name Enterocytozoon bieneusi H348. RNAcentral's name for it is "eukaryotic LSU rRNA". It matches the Rfam family "Eukaryotic large subunit ribosomal RNA", at positions 2215 to 3140 of the family's 3401-position model. Lineage: Eukaryota; Fungi; Microsporidia; Enterocytozoonidae. The record is from RNAcentral.
CGUUAAGGAAGUAAUUUAAGUACGCACCUGUAAACGGCGGGAGUAACUAUGACUCUCUUAAGGUAGCCAAAUGCCUCGUCGCCUAAUUAGCGACGCGCAUGAAUGGAGCAACGAGAUUCCCACUGUCCCUGCUCACAGAUUUGCGAACCUACAGCCAAGGGAACGGGCUUGGGACAUGCAGCGGGGAAAGAAGACCCUGUUGAGCUUGACUCUAGCCAAGCACAGGCCUCUGUGACUAUAUCGUAGCGAGGUGGGAGAAAUGUGUGAGACCACUGACAUAGUCGGCGGGGGCACUCGCAAAGCUUGGUGGGGAGUUUGGCUGGGGCGGCACGACUACUAAAACAUAACGUAGACGUCCAAAGGUAAGCUCCGAGGGGAUGGAAACCACUCCGAGAGUAUAAGGGCAAAAGCUUGCUUUAGUUAUUAAUGUAAAUUAAUAAUACUGGAAACAGGGGCCUAGAGAUCCUCUAUGAAACUAAGCAUAGAGGUGACGGAAAAGUUACCACAGGGAUAACUGGCUUGUGGCGGCCGAGCGUCCAUAGCGACGCCGCUUUUUGAUUCUUCGAUGUCGGCUCUUCCGAGCAUGGUGGAGUAUCAGCCACCAAGUGUGUGAUUGUUCACCAACUAACAGGGAACGUGAGCUGGGUUUAGACCGUCGCGAGACAGGUUAGUUUUACCCUACUGCAUCGCGUCCGAGAGUAGGUCGGGGCAGUACGAGAGGAAGUGCCGAUCAGAACCGCUGGUGAUACUUUCGUCUGUUAAGGCGCGAAGUGUAGCUACGUUCUUCUUAUAAUAGCUGAAAGCCUCUAAGCUAGAA